Long non-coding RNA from Aegilops tauschii subsp. strangulata, 399 nucleotides. RefSeq lists it as uncharacterized. The record is from RefSeq and is a predicted model, not a curated record. Lineage: Eukaryota; Viridiplantae; Streptophyta; Magnoliopsida; Poales; Poaceae.
CUCAUUGGCUCACCGUAGUUGAGAAGCAUGUGUUCUAUCUUCAUCCAUGUCUGCGCUCUACAACGCCUGCCUCUCAUGUCUUCGCCAACCAGGUGGCUCCUCUCCACGAGCUACGUCAUCUGGUUUGUUUCUGCCACAGAUCAAAGCCUGGGUGGCAUUUUUACAAGUGCGAACUUUGCAUGGAGAAUGCAGGUUCUGGCUGUGGGAAUGAACAGGAAGUAGAACCUUCUCGUGGCUUACGAACUUUUUCAUCAUGUGCAUCGUGGCCAUCGCCCUGUUCUUUGUCCACAGCAACUAAAGCUCAACCCCACUGCAAAAAGAUGGUCGCCAUCGUCAUUUUUUAGCACUGAACCCAUUAGAUGGUCUGAUAUCUAGUACUAGUAUUUAUUUCAUGCACCA